UCGAGUGUUUUUUGCAUAGUUUUUGUAUGUAUAAACAAGUAUUUUGUUUGAUACUAAACUAUCAUACACUAUGCACAAGGCAUUUGCAGAAUCCAGGAUUGGUAGUUAUAGGCAGCUUUAUUCCCAAAUUUUGGAGAUGCUGACAAAUACUUAAACCUACAACACAUUUUUUGGUCAGAGGGCACAUGCCAUCUCUCUAAAGCCAUGACCUCAUGACCGUGAACUGUGGCAUGGUUGACAAGAUUGGGAUAUUCAAAUAGCUUCUCAUGUAGAACUGAUUCUUCCUGUCAGACAAACAAAGUUUACAAUGGUGAGUGAAUCAAAAUUUUACAACUUUUAAGAA
This is a long non-coding RNA of Quercus robur (English oak), 343 nucleotides long. RefSeq lists it as uncharacterized. Lineage: Eukaryota; Viridiplantae; Streptophyta; Magnoliopsida; Fagales; Fagaceae. The record is from RefSeq and is a predicted model, not a curated record. The transcript has 2 exons.